This 78-nucleotide transfer RNA is filed under the name Ottowia oryzae. Its description in RNAcentral is "tRNA-Pro". It matches the Rfam family "tRNA". Rfam says of the family: Transfer RNA (tRNA) molecules are approximately 80 nucleotides in length. Their secondary structure includes four short double-helical elements and three loops (D, anti-codon, and T loops). Further hydrogen bonds mediate the characteristic L-shaped molecular structure. tRNAs have two regions of fundamental functional importance: the anti-codon, which is responsible for specific mRNA codon recognition, and the 3' end, to which the tRNAs corresponding amino acid is attached (by aminoacyl-tRNA synthetases). tRNAs cope with the degeneracy of the genetic code in two manners: having more than one tRNA (with a specific anti-codon) for a particular amino acid; and 'wobble' base-pairing, i.e. permitting non-standard base-pairing at the 3rd anti-codon position. Lineage: Bacteria; Pseudomonadati; Pseudomonadota; Betaproteobacteria; Burkholderiales; Comamonadaceae. The record is from RNAcentral.
CUGGGUGUAGUGUCAGCCAGGUAGACGGCCCGCCUUGGAAGCGGGAGGACGCUGGAUCGAAGCCAGCCACCAAGACCA